Molecule: ribosomal RNA, 334 nt
Filed under: uncultured eukaryote
Lineage: Eukaryota
Description: partial 18S ribosomal RNA
Rfam family: Eukaryotic small subunit ribosomal RNA
Source: RNAcentral
CCCUUAGAUGUUCUGGGCCGCACGCGCGCUACACUGACAGGGCCAGCGAGUACAUCACCUUGGCCGAGAGGUCUGGGUAAUCUUGUUAAACCCUGUCGUGCUGGGGAUAGAGCAUUGCAAUUAUUGCUCUUCAACGAGGAAUGCCUAGUAGGCACAAGUCAUCAGCUUGUGCCGAUUACGUCCCUGCCCUUUGUACACACCGCCCGUCGCUACUACCGAUUGGAUGGUUUAGCGAGAACUUUGGACCGGAGCUCGGGUGGUCAGCAAUGGCCGCCCGAGACAUACUGGGAAAUCGCUCCAGCUUGAUCAUCUAGAGGAAGUAAAAGUCGUAACA